UUCCAGUUUCUGAAGGAUGUCUGCCUGGGGGUAUGAUGAUGAUGAUAAAGCUAACUAUCAAGGAAUGUGCAGAGUAACAUCUAGUAAUGAUGACUGGGAACCAACUGCAUGGAUUUCUCAACCAGAUGAUAAACCCCAUGCUGGGAAAGAGGAACAACAUGUUACAAGUGUAAUGGAAAAGGGCACUUUGCAAGAGAUUGCCCUUCUGCUAAGGAAACUGGUGGUUUUAACAGGCAGCAACAAGAUUUAAGAAAAGAACGAGGACAAGACAGAGUGGCUGGCAGAGGCAUUGGAAAGGCUUGUUUUAAGUGUGGUACAGAAGGUCACCUGUCCCGUGAUUGCCCUGAUGCUUUUGGUGGAGGCAAACCUGGUGCUGGUUUUGAUGGCAGAGGAGAACGUAUUGGUGGUAAUGCAAGAAAGGCAGGUUGUUUCAAAUGUGGUAAAGAUGGCCACAUGGCUAAAGAUUGUUUACAAGCUGCACCUGGAAAGGAAGAUGCAAAAGAAAAACCCCGUGUACCUACUUAUAUACCUGUAGACCUAGACAGUGACAAGCUCUUUGAGGUUAAGAUGGGAAUUGGGAAACACUUCCAUUAUUAUGAUGACAUGCCAGUCAAGGUGAG
This is a non-coding RNA of Cherax quadricarinatus, 620 nucleotides long. Lineage: Eukaryota; Metazoa; Arthropoda; Malacostraca; Decapoda; Parastacidae. The record is from RefSeq and is a predicted model, not a curated record.